GACCGCGUAGCGCAGCUGGCAGAGCAUUGGGCUAGUAUUCCAAAGGUCGUAGGUUCGAUUCCAACCGUGGCCA
Molecule: non-coding RNA, 73 nt
Organism: Paramuricea clavata
Lineage: Eukaryota; Metazoa; Cnidaria; Anthozoa; Malacalcyonacea; Plexauridae
Source: the annotation of a GenBank genome assembly